RNAcentral lists this transfer RNA (75 nucleotides) under Halocynthiibacter sp. SDUM655004. Its description in RNAcentral is "tRNA-Thr". It matches the Rfam family "tRNA". From Rfam's summary of the family: Transfer RNA (tRNA) molecules are approximately 80 nucleotides in length. Their secondary structure includes four short double-helical elements and three loops (D, anti-codon, and T loops). Lineage: Bacteria; Pseudomonadati; Pseudomonadota; Alphaproteobacteria; Rhodobacterales; Paracoccaceae. The record is from RNAcentral. RNAcentral also lists the same sequence under 2 other names.
GCUGCCGUAGCUCAGUGGUAGAGCACUCCCUUGGUAAGGGAGAGGUCGAGAGUUCAAUUCUCUCCGGCAGCACCA